CCUACGGGGUGCAGCAGUGGGGAAUAUUGGACAAUGGGCGAAAGCCUGAUCCAGCCAUGCCGCGUGUGUGAAGAAGGCCUUCGGGUUGUAAAGCACUUUCAGUGGGGAAGAAAGCCUUGGGGCUAAUACCCUCGAGGAAGGACAUCACCCACAGAAGAAGCACCGGCUAACUCCGUGCCAGCAGCCGCGGUAAUACGGAGGGUGCGAGCGUUAAUCGGAAUUACUGGGCGUAAAGCGCGCGUAGGCGGUCUGAUAAGCCGGUUGUGAAAGCCCCGGGCUCAACCUGGGAACGGCAUCCGGAACUGUCAGGCUAGAGUGCAGGAGAGGAAGGUAGAAUUCCCGGUGUAGCGGUGAAAUGCGUAGAGAUCGGGAGGAAUACCAGGGGCGAAGGCGGCCUUCUGGACUGACACUGACGCUGAGGUGCGAAAGCGUGGGUAGCAAACAGGAUUAGAUACCCCGGUAGUC
This 465-nucleotide ribosomal RNA is filed under the name Vreelandella stevensii. Its description in RNAcentral is "partial 16S ribosomal RNA". It matches the Rfam family "Bacterial small subunit ribosomal RNA", at positions 338 to 795 of the family's 1533-position model. The record is from RNAcentral. Lineage: Bacteria; Pseudomonadati; Pseudomonadota; Gammaproteobacteria; Oceanospirillales; Halomonadaceae.